GGGUACGACAGGGUGGCCGUCGUCUGCGGCGCCUGGCACGUGCCGGCGCUGCGCGAGCUCGGCCCCGCCGCGCCCG
RNAcentral lists this transfer RNA (76 nucleotides) under Sphaerisporangium melleum. Its description in RNAcentral is "tRNA-Ala". The record is from RNAcentral. Lineage: Bacteria; Bacillati; Actinomycetota; Actinomycetes; Streptosporangiales; Streptosporangiaceae.